This 691-nucleotide ribosomal RNA is filed under the name bacterium MS-AsV-39. RNAcentral's name for it is "bacterial SSU rRNA". It matches the Rfam family "Bacterial small subunit ribosomal RNA", at positions 115 to 806 of the family's 1533-position model. The record is from RNAcentral.
ACAUCGGAACGUGCCCGAUCGUGGGGGAUAACGAGGCGAAAGCUUUGCUAAUACCGCAUACGAUCUACGGAUGAAAGCGGGGGAUCUUCGGACCUCGCGCGGACGGAGCGGCCGAUGGCAGAUUAGGUAGUUGGUGGGAUAAAAGCUUACCAAGCCGACGAUCUGUAGCUGGUCUGAGAGGAUGAUCAGCCACACUGGGACUGAGACACGGCCCAGACUCCUACGGGAGGCAGCAGUGGGGAAUUUUGGACAAUGGGCGAAAGCCUGAUCCAGCCAUGCCGCGUGCAGGAUGAAGGCCUUCGGGUUGUAAACUGCUUUUGUACGGAACGAAAAGCCUCUUUCUAAUAAAGAGGGGUCAUGACGGUACCGUAAGAAUAAGCACCGGCUAACUACGUGCCAGCAGCCGCGGUAAUACGUAGGGUGCAAGCGUUAAUCGGAAUACUGGGCGUAAAGCGUGCGCAGGCGGUUUUGUAAGACAGAGGUGAAUCCCCGGGCUCAACCUGGGAACUGCCUUUGUGACUGCAAGGCUGGAGUGCGGCAGAGGGGGAUGGAAUUCCGCGUGUAGCAGUGAAAUGCGUAGAUAUGCGGAGGAACACCGAUGGCGAAGGCAAUCCCUGGGCCUGCACUGACGCUCAUGCACGAAAGCGUGGGGAGCAAACAGGAUUAGAUACCUGGUAGUCCACGCCCUAAA